RNAcentral lists this ribosomal RNA (254 nucleotides) under uncultured bacterium. RNAcentral describes it as "partial 16S ribosomal RNA". It matches the Rfam family "Bacterial small subunit ribosomal RNA", at positions 524 to 776 of the family's 1533-position model. The record is from RNAcentral.
UACGGAGGGUGCAAGCAUUGAUCGGAAUUACUGGGCGUAAAGGGCGCGUAGGCGGUUUGGAAAGUCAGAUGUGAAAUUCCGGGGCUCAACCCCGGAGCUGCAUUUGAAACUACUAAUGCUAGAGUGCAGUUAGGGAAAACGGAAUUCCACGUGUAGCGGUGAAAUGCGUAGAUAUGUGGAAGAACACCGGUGGUGAAGACGGUUUUCUGGGCUGUAACUGACGCUGAGGCGCGAAAGCAAGGGGAGCAAACAGG